Long non-coding RNA from Monopterus albus (swamp eel), 452 nucleotides. RefSeq lists it as uncharacterized. The record is from RefSeq and is a predicted model, not a curated record. NCBI's taxonomy places the organism in Eukaryota, Metazoa, Chordata, Actinopteri, Synbranchiformes, Synbranchidae. The transcript has 3 exons.
UCCAGCUCUGACUCUCCAGCAUUAAUUCUUGCCUGACUUUUUAAGUUUCUGACCCUGGAUUGCUGUUUUUGACCACCGUAUAUUGCCUUCCCCUUCAAACUCAGACUGCUUUUCUGUGUAUUGGCUUAUCGGACUUCCCUUUCUGCCAUCUCGUUUGGAUACCUUUGCUGGUUCUGACCCUGAACUGUAUUAUCGACCUUACCUGUGGGGAGACCACCUUCUGACCAACUUCAGGUAUGGAGGCAUGUGAUUUCAGUCAGCUACAUAGGUGCUGUGUUGGGGAAGUCUGCCAUCUUGUCUGCAGCCAGGUACUCUUGUCAAUGAAGACCAACCACACACAUGCUCACCCACCUGGAAUGGAGUAAAGGCGCUCUGCAAUACUGUGCUGUGCUGUGUAUCACAUGGAGAUAAUGUGCUGUAUAUUAUUUGAAUGAAGAUUAAACUCUCCAGUA